GAUGAACGCUGGCGGCGUGCCUAACACAUGCAAGUCGAGCGAAGCGAUUUAGCGGAAGUUUUCGGAUGGAAGUUGAAUUGACUGAGCGGCGACGGGUGAGUAACGCGUGGGUAACCUGCCUCAUACAGGGGGAUAACAGUUAGAAAUGGCUGCUAAUACCCCAUAAGACCACAGCACCGCAUGGUGCAGGGGUAAAAACUCCGGUGGUAUGAGAUGGACCCGCGUCUGAUUAGGUAGUUGGUGGGGUAACGGCCUACCAAGGCAACGAUCAGUAGCCGAACUGAGAGGUUGAACGGCCACAUUGGGACUGAGAUACGGCCCAG
RNAcentral lists this ribosomal RNA (323 nucleotides) under uncultured bacterium. RNAcentral describes it as "bacterial SSU rRNA". It matches the Rfam family "Bacterial small subunit ribosomal RNA", at positions 28 to 334 of the family's 1533-position model. The record is from RNAcentral.